Molecule: ribosomal RNA, 932 nt
Filed under: uncultured eubacterium WCHA1-20
Lineage: Bacteria; Candidatus Microgenomatota
Description: bacterial SSU rRNA
Rfam family: Bacterial small subunit ribosomal RNA
Source: RNAcentral
UACGUAGGUCACAAGCGUUACCCGGUUUUAUUGGGCGUAAAGAGUCUGUAGGUGGUUUUUAAGUCUUGUUUCAAAGACCUCGGCUCAACCGAGGACAGGGGCAGGAUACUGGAAGACUAGAGUGAUAUCGGGGUUACUGGAAUUUGUAGUGUAGGGGUUAAAUCCGUGGAUACUACAAAGAACACCAGGCGCGAAGGCGGGUAACCAGGUAUAUACUGACACUCAGAGACGAAAGCUAGGGUAGCCAAUCAGAUUAGAGACCUGAGUAGUCCUAGCUGUAAACUUUGUCCGUUAAUUCUUUUUCAACUUGUUGAAAGGGGAUGUAAGCUAACGCGUUAAACGGACCGCCUGGGGAGUAUAGCCGCAAGGCCGAAACUCAAACGAAUUGGCGGGGAGGCGCACAACCAGUGGAGCAUGUUGUUCAAUUCGAUACGAAGCGAUAAACCUUACCUGGGUUUGAAAUGCACCUGCAAGCCCCCUGAAAGGGGGGAAUCCUUCGAGGGUGGUGCACAGCUGUUGCAUGGCUGUCGUCAGCUCGUGACGUGAGUUGUUCUCUUAAGUGAGGUAACGAGCGCAACCCCCAUCCGGUGUUACUGUGUCACCGGAGACUGCCCAGCAUUAUUUUGUUGGGAGGAAGGAGGGGACGACGUCAAGUCAUCAUGAUGCUUAUGUCCAGGGCUACAAACAUCCUACAAUGGGAUGUACAGAGGGUCGCAAUACCGCGAGGUGGAGCUAAUCCUUAAAACAUCCCUCAGUUGGGAUUGCAGGCUGAAAUUCGCCUGCAUGAACCCGGAAUUGGUAGUAAUCGCAAAUCAGCAGAUUGCGGUGAAUACGUUCUCGCCUCUUGCACACACUGCCCGUCAAAUCAGCAAAGUUGGGGGUACCUGAAGCUUCUCUUCGGAGGAACCAAGGUAAAUCCAGCGAUGAGGGUU